GUAGAUACUGAUACUGCCCUCUGGAAUAUGGAGCUAUAUCCCUCUGAUAAUGAUAGGCACCCCCGUGACCUGUCUGGGUAUAACCACUAAACCCUGGAAUCUGCUGGAUAGAAACUAGUGGUGGUAAGGCAGAUGUUUGGGAAAUCUGCUGGUUCUGUGGGCACUGGAUAGCCUGAUGUCCCAUAUGGCCAUAAAUAAAACAUCCUCUGUUACCUUGCCUGCACUCCCCAAAAUGUUGACUAUUACAUCUACACCUGAGCGGCUGCCCAUCCGUUGUGCGGUGGAACUCAAACCUCCACUGGAAGAACUGGAACUAGUACCACUUCUCUUAAAACUCUGCGUCUUGGGAGGUCCUUAUGAUGACUGGCCCUUAUCUUUAUUCUUAUUAUUUUUCUUCUGGUUACUAUCUUUUUCUUCCUCUUCCUCGCUAUCACUGGGCAUAUUUUCAGAAUCCUCAACCCGUAGUAAAAUCUCAUAAAACUCCUGAUAUGUAGCACAGGGAAUCGUGGUCGCCAUGGAACGCCACUUCUUUCUAGUACCCAAUCUAAAACGGUGAAGCAUCUCUGCGAGAUUUGCAACAAUCGCAGGGCAAUAAUGAGAUAGAUCAGUGAACUUCCAAUAAUACUCAUUAGCUGACAUCUUCCCCUACCUUAGAUGCAUGAAUUCGUACUUCUUAUGAUCUAUAUACUUUGGGGGGACAAAUCUCUUUUGGAAUAACCACUUAAAAAUCUCCCAAUCUACAGCCUCCUCUGGUGACAACUGAAAAGAUUCUUGCCUCUACCAGGAAGCAGGCUCCCCACCCAAAAACCAAGUGGUCGUCUCGACCCAUCUAUCCUUAGGAAGAUUUCCAUGUCUCUGCAUUAAUUCAAGAUCCAUGCAAUUAGGUCUAAAAGAACCAACCCAACCCCCUAUUCUUCAUAACAUUUAUCCUACACACCCAACUAGGCCCUAACUUGCCUCCACACUAUCGUGACGUCGAAUUCAACUUAAUCACAUUGGCGAGGAAAUAAUUUAGACUAUAUACGUACAUCCCCGUCACUGAGCCUCGAGGGCAUAAACUUCAAUUUACAUACUUGAGGACAAAAUUAUGCACAGUAAAUUGGAACGAGUUGUUACAAAAUAGUAUUCGUUGAUACGAUCACGUGAGCAUGAGUUUGACCCAAAUCGGGUUCAUAACGAAAAAGUUACAUCUCGUUAAAGUACAUAAUCGACAGGUAGAAUUGUACACACAAGUGUGCUAAUUUAUCAUUAUUAGAAACACUAUUUUGGAUAGAUUUUUUGAGCACUUUUUACUAUUUAAGUCUGAAAACCAAUCAAAACCGUGAAUUGUUGUUCACCCACCAAUCAAAUCUGUCCCUUACACCCCUCACCCAAUCAGCUCUCCCUCUCUCCUUCGUUUUGGGACCAAUCAGAAACCUCUAUCUCUCUCUCAUCAUCAUUUAACUCUCUCCUCUUUGCAACUACAAGGACCUUCACAACCACUCACAGGUCAAGUCCAAAAACACCACCAUCGUGAUCAUCUCGUCCUUACAAUCACAACCAUACCAACCGAUUCUCUAAUGGUUGAGUUUUGAGUGGUCAACGUAAAGCAACUCAGAAGCUCCAACUCGAUCGAGUUAGCAUCGUCGUGAUCUUGGCUGAGUUACAAGGUUUUAGGACGUGGGAAAGCUUCUACUCAACUCCCCAUGGCCAUUAAACUAGUUUUGGAGAAACGUUGAUGUCAAAACAGGCACAUUCAAGGAGUUAAGCUUUUGGCCGAGACUUUUAAGCUAUUUUUAGGCCAUUUCCCAUCCACUUUUGGACUUUUGGAAGGUACAACUUUUUUCUACUCUUCUCGAGCUUUAUUUCCAUAUAAAUUUCGUGAAAAAUGGUUGAGAAAUGAGCAAGAUAUUAAGGUUUAAAAUUUUACCCAGAAAUCGACGAAGAUUUCUAGUUUUCGGUGAGUUCAUACGGCGGCGACCGGUGACGACCCACCGGAGAAGACAACAAAUAUUUCGUCAAACUUGACGGAAUAUCUAACGACGUCAGGUAACGUCGUUAACGUCCGUUAACUGUUCAACGGAAUAUUCUGUCGAGUCUGACAGAAUAUUCCUGGAUUCCCUCAGCUUCUGCCAUGCACGUGCAUGCGCGUGGCCAUGGGUUGGGCAGCGCGUGAGGGUGCGUCCGGCCUCCGACCAGCGAGUGGUUUUUAUGUACAAGUUCGUGACUUCGAGUAGAACAUUUUCGUAUAUUCAAACCUUCUAUUUGAGCAAACGUUGGGGAGUUAUUCCUAGUUUUAGUGUAUGUCCUUAGUAACUAAUUUAAUUUAGUUGUUUCGCAUAUAGGGGAGACUUACCCCAAGGACAUACGAGGACAAGCAAGACUAGGGAGCUAUGAUCCUAUGACAUACCAGUGAGUGGGCAUUUUGUUUCCAUAUAUAUAUAUAUAUAUAUAUAUAUAUAUUGUAUAGUUCCCACAAAUGCUUUUAAGUUGAUUUAUGCAUGUUAUGCCACAUUUUACUUACUUUUAAAAUAGUGCCAUGGUGGUUGAGAUUUAUAUUUGAUCAUGGCAUAUUCAUAUGCAUUCUACAUGCUGAUAAAUAUUAGGUUAUUGUGUAAGGCCAAAUCAUUCUACGGGACGCGCAUGUAAGUUCAGGUGAGUUUAUUGUGUUGUUUGGAAUGAUUGAAUUGUAUGGCAUGCUUAUAUUCAUAUAGUUCGCUCAUCAUUGCUGCACCAAUGUUAACGCUCACCUCGGGUCAAGGCCAGUCUUUCACGUGAUGUUCACCUCGCAUCCCACACUCACCUUGGAUCCAAGUAGGUGCUAGUCUUGUCGUACAGGUUGCAUUAGGCGACUUCGACUCGUAGGUGACGCGCAUAGCGCUAGUCUUCACGUGAUCAUAGCACUAGAGCGUAUAUUAUUACACCUAGUCAUGUCGUACAGGUCACAUUAGGUGACUCUUACUCGUGUGUUAGCAUAGAUGGAUGAGCAACAGGUGCAGUCGUACAGGUCACAUUAGCUGACUCCGACUGCAUGCUAAUAUAGAUUGUUGAGCACAUGAUUUUAUUCAUAUUGCCGUUGAGAUAUUUUAUUGUGGCAUAUUUCGGGAUUUAUUGUCGGCAUGCAUUUGAUUUCAUACUUAUAAUUAGUAUGGAUUUCAGGAAACUAUACUUGUUUUACAGCGAGGGGUUAGUAUGUUUAGAAAACAAAUGGAUUUUAUAAACCUUUUAUUUUUUUUGCCCACUCACCCUUCUGUUUUUCACCCCUCCAGGUCCUAGAUAGCUGACCUACUCUGUGGCGUUCGAGGAUUACCAGGCGAUUCUGACGUAUCCCCAUUCUUAACGUAGGAACUUAUCUCCAGUUGUGUAUUAAGUACAUCUCUAAUUCGACUGCUUUACCCUUGUGUUUUCUAUGCUUUGAAUAUUUGUAGUUUUGGAUUAUAACCACUACUGCGCACUCACCUUAUUAGUUAAUUAAGUUCUAGUUUCAGUUUUAAUUUAUUCACAUUUUUCUUACAUCACUUGCACUUUUGGUUACGUCACCUUUACGUGAUAGCCAGCACGCCUUGAUUUCGGUCGGGGUAUGUCAUUCUCUCUCCAUAACUACCGACACUUUUUUUUCCUGAUGCCUACAUAACUCCUACCCAAAAAAUUAAAAAUUAAAAAUUAAAAAACAAUAUUUGAAAAAAUAAAAAUUAUAUUUCUCACACAGAGUGUGUGACCUUUGCUGGUACAUUUUAAUGUCUACAUUUAGGCAAACUAAUUUUUUUUUUUUUUUAUAAUAAUUAUUUUGAUAACAAUUUUGUAUGUUCUUCAUUUAGGUACAUUAAUACAUUUGAACAUUUCGGUAUAUCCAUCGAUACAAACAUAUAGGUACAUUAAUUCAAUAUAAAGCAUUUCGGAACGUACAUUUUGGUACAUACAUUUGGGUAUUGACUUUUAGGUACAUUAAUUCAAUAUAAUGCAUUUCGGUACUUACAUUUUGGUACACACAUUUGGGUAUUGACUUUGAGGUACAUACAUUUUGGUACUACAUUUCGAUAUUAACAUUUAGGUACUUUAAUUCAAUAUAAUACAUUUUGGUACACAUUUAGGUUCCUUAAAAUAUAAUAUAUUAAAAAAUACACAUUAGAUAACAAAAAUUGAAUAUAAAUUUUAAUAAAAGUACACUUAAAGGGAUUAAAUUAAAUAUGUAAUCAAGCAUGAGGUUUUUUUUUUUUUUUUUUCUGAAAUUUAAACUUUUGCAAGAACUAAUAUUCAAAAACUCCUAUAUUUUAAUUAAGUUUAUCAGAUAAGAUGAUGCAAUAUUUUAUUUUCAAGUUGUUGGAUGAAAAUGCAUCAAGGCUGGUUAUAGUUUGAUGCUUCUAAUUAAGUGUUUAAUCGUGUCUACGAUAAUCCAAAGCUUGAUGCACUGGGUGCACUGGAUGCACUGAUUACCAAUAGAUUAUCAUAAAUUUAAUAUUUGAUAAGAUUGUCUUCCUCCUUUAAGGAAUUCAGUUAAGGGCAAGGAAAUAAGAAAGUGUUGUGUUGGAUGGGAGAAUUUUUUUGGCAGUAAGGAAUGAUUCUCUUUCUUCAACCUCUCGGAGCAUAAGGGACGAAUAACAGGUAGGAGAAUAACAGGUAGGAGGAGAAGAGAGUUUUUUUUCUAUUUUUUUAUUUUUUUAAUAAAUGAUAUUAUUUACACUAAGGGGUGGGAGAGUGAGCUAAGCCUCACAAUGGGCUAGCAAUAAUAUGAUUCAAAUCUUCCUUUGGCGAGAAUCAAACCUGAGACCUCUCACUUACUAGUGAAUACCACUAGACCGUAGUACUAAGUGGCAAGUGAGCGUUUUAAACUAAGGGUAAUUAUGUCUUUUUCACUUAUUUUUUUGUUAAUUUUAUAAUAGUUGAAAAAGAGAGGCUAUAUUUCAUUAGGUGGUUCUCAAAGUGGGGCUAUAUUUCCAAAUUUCCCAAGGAACAUAUCUCCUAAUCCUACUCUGAUUAAGAGAGAAUCUUGAGAAUUUCUAUUAUUAUAGAAAUAUCUUCUUCGAUUUCUUAUUAGGAUUCUCCCAGUUUUAAUAUGAAUUUCUAUCCUCAUAAAAACUCUCAUUGAACAUUAUAAAUACACCCUCUAGGAUUCAAGGUAAAGUUAUUUCAUUCUACGCUCCAACCUACUGCUUAAAGUUUUAAUUUUUGCAGUUGGCAAGGAUUACCCCAUCAAAACAUUCUGAAUACAACCUUUUCAUCUUCAGAUUGCAUGUCCACUUUCAAGAAAGACCUCGCGAACGAAAAACAGUGUAGCUAUGAGCAUUGACUUAAAGAGUAACAAGAUAUAUAAAUCAAAGGUGAAAACAGAAAACUAAUAAAAAAUAUAUACAGGUUCACGUCCUACAACUUUUCACAAGCAUUUACAAAGCAUAUUGUAGUCAAGCAAACAUGCCUUCAUUCUAACCCAAUAAAAUAUAACAAAAAUAUAACACUGAAUGUCGAAUACUCAUGUAGUCAUGUACUAAUUCCUUUGAUAAGAGCAUAUUUAUGCGACUUAGUUAGCUUGUUUUUUGGCAUUUAUGUUGUUAGUUCGUAGUUAUUUUAGUAUUUUAAACUAUUUUCGUGUGUUUGUAGGUCCAAAGGGUUAAUGUGGCAAAGAAAUGCAUUUUGGAGCAUUUUUGGGCAUGGAAUGGAUAGCAUAUGCUUGGAGCAAAAGGAAUGGACGAAAUU
Molecule: long non-coding RNA, 5670 nt
Filed under: Malus domestica (apple)
Lineage: Eukaryota; Viridiplantae; Streptophyta; Magnoliopsida; Rosales; Rosaceae
Description: long non-coding RNA (MDOM_LNC010289)
Source: RNAcentral